This 517-nucleotide ribosomal RNA is filed under the name uncultured Staphylococcus sp. RNAcentral describes it as "partial 16S ribosomal RNA". Lineage: Bacteria; Bacillati; Bacillota; Bacilli; Caryophanales; Staphylococcaceae. The record is from RNAcentral.
CGCGUAGUUAGCCGUGGCUUUCUGAUUAGGUACCGUCAAGACGUGCACAGUUACUUACACAUUUGUUCUUCCCUAAUAACAGAGUUUUACGAUCCGAAGACCUUCAUCACUCACGCGGCGUUGCUCCGUCAGGCUUUCGCCCAUUGCGGAAGAUUCCCUACUGCUGCCUCCCGUAGGAGUCUGGACCGUGUCUCAGUUCCAGUGUGGCCGAUCACCCUCUCAGGUCGGCUACGUAUCGUUGCCUUGGUAAGCCAUUACCCCACCAACUAGCUAAUACGGCGCGGGUCCAUCUAUAAGUGAUAGCAAAACCAUCUUUCACUUUAGAACCAUGCGGUUCUAAAUAUUAUCCGGCAUUAGCCCCGGUUUCCCGGAGUUAUUCCAGCCUUAUAGGUAGGUUACCCACGUGUUACUCACCCGUCCGCCGCUAACGUCAAAGGAGCAAGCUCCUUAUCUGUUCGCUCGACUUGCAUGUAUUAGGCACGCCGCCAGCGUUCAUCCUGAGCCAGGAUCAAACUCU